RNAcentral lists this ribosomal RNA (497 nucleotides) under uncultured bacterium. RNAcentral's name for it is "partial 16S ribosomal RNA". It matches the Rfam family "Bacterial small subunit ribosomal RNA", at positions 28 to 507 of the family's 1533-position model. The record is from RNAcentral.
GAUGAACGCUGGCGGCGUGCCUAAUACAUGCAAGUCGAGCGAACGGACGAGAAGCUUGCUUCUCUGAUGUUAGCGGCGGACGGGUGAGUAACACGUGGAUAACCUACCUAUAAGACUGGGAUAACUUCGGGAAACCGGAGCUAAUACCGGAUGAUAUUUUGAAUCGCAUGGUUCAAAAGUGAAAGACGGUCUUGCUGUCACUUAUAGAUGGAUCCGCGCUGCACUAGCUAGUUGGUAAGGUAACGGCUUACCAAGGCAACGAUGCAUAGCCGACCUGAGAGGGUGAUCGGCCACACUGGAACUGAGACACGGUCCAGACUCCUACGGGAGGCAGCAGUAGGGAAUCUUCCGCAAUGGGCGAAAGCCUGACGGAGCAACGCCGCGUGAGUGAUGAAGGUCUUCGGAUCGUAAAACUCUGUUAUUAGGGAAGAACAUAUGUGUAAGUAACUGUGCACAUCUUGACGGUACCUAAUCAGAAAGCCACGGCUAACUACGUG